ACACUUUGGCAGCAUAUAUACUAAAGUUGAAAUGCUACAGAGAAGAUUAAAAUGGUCCUUGUGCAAGGAAACAGGCAAAUUCAUGAAGCCUUCUGUAUUUAA
This is a small nuclear RNA of Hyaena hyaena (striped hyena), 102 nucleotides long. The record is from RefSeq and is a predicted model, not a curated record. NCBI's taxonomy places the organism in Eukaryota, Metazoa, Chordata, Mammalia, Carnivora, Hyaenidae.